GACGAACGCUGGCGGCGUGCUUAACACAUGCAAGUCGAACGGUAAGGCCCUUCGGGGUACACGAGUGGCGAACGGGUGAGUAACACGUGGGUGAUCUGCCCUGCACUUCGGGAUAAGCCUGGGAAACUGGGUCUAAUACCGGAUAGGACCCUGGGAUGCAUGUCCUGGGGUGGAAAGCUUUUGCGGUGUGGGAUGGGCCCGCGGCCUAUCAGCUUGUUGGUGGGGUGAUGGCCUACCAAGGCGACGACGGGUAGCCGGCCUGAGAGGGUGACCGGCCAAAAUGGGACUGUGAUACGGCACAGACGCCUACGGGAGGCAGCGGUGGGGAGUAUGGCACAAUGGGCGCAAGCCUGAUGCAGCGACGCCGCGUGAGGGAUGACGGCCUUCGGGGUGUAAACCUCUUUCAGCACCGACGAAGCGCAAGUGACGGUAGGUGCAGAAGAAGGACCGGCCAACUACGUGCCAGCCGCCGCCGUAA
This 478-nucleotide ribosomal RNA is filed under the name uncultured bacterium. Its description in RNAcentral is "partial 16S ribosomal RNA". It matches the Rfam family "Bacterial small subunit ribosomal RNA", at positions 28 to 523 of the family's 1533-position model. The record is from RNAcentral.